AGUCUGCAACUCGACUACAUGAAGCUGGAAUCGCUAGUAAUCGCAGAUCAGAAUGCCGCGGUGAAUACGUUCCCGGGUCUUGUACACACCGCCCGUCACACCAUGGGAGCCGGUAACGCCCGAAGUCAGUGACCCAACCGAGAGGAGGGAGCUGCCGAAGGCGGGACAGGUAACUGGGGUGAAGUCGUAACAAGGUAAC
RNAcentral lists this ribosomal RNA (199 nucleotides) under uncultured bacterium. RNAcentral describes it as "partial 16S ribosomal RNA". It matches the Rfam family "Bacterial small subunit ribosomal RNA", at positions 1302 to 1500 of the family's 1533-position model. The record is from RNAcentral.